This 253-nucleotide ribosomal RNA is filed under the name uncultured bacterium. RNAcentral's name for it is "partial 16S ribosomal RNA". It matches the Rfam family "Bacterial small subunit ribosomal RNA", at positions 524 to 776 of the family's 1533-position model. The record is from RNAcentral.
UACGUAGGGGGCAAGCGUUGUCCGGAUUUAUUGGGCGUAAAGAGCGUGUAGGCGGCUAUACAGGUCCGCUGUGAAAACUCGAGGCUCAACCUCGAGACGUCGGUGGAAACCGUAUGGCUAGAGUCCGGAAGAGGAGAGUGGAAUUCCUGGUGUAGCGGUGAAAUGCGUAGAUAUCCGGAGGAACACCGGUGGCGAAGGCGGCUUCCUGGACCGACACUGACGCUGAGGCGCGAAAGCUAGGGGAGCAAACGGG